CUGAUGAAGAGUCCCAAAAUAGGACGAAACAGCUGUCUAG
This 40-nucleotide non-coding RNA is filed under the name Trichobilharzia regenti. The record is from RNAcentral. Lineage: Eukaryota; Metazoa; Platyhelminthes; Trematoda; Strigeidida; Schistosomatidae.